This 498-nucleotide ribosomal RNA is filed under the name uncultured bacterium. RNAcentral's name for it is "bacterial SSU rRNA". It matches the Rfam family "Bacterial small subunit ribosomal RNA", at positions 29 to 521 of the family's 1533-position model. The record is from RNAcentral.
AUUGAACGCUGGCGGCGUGCCUAACACAUGCAAGUCGAGCGGUAACAGGUGUAGCAAUACAUGCUGACGAGCGGCGGACGGGUGAGUAACGCUUGGGAAUCUGCCUAUUAGUGGGGGACAACCCGGGGAAACUCGGGCUAAUACCGCAUACGCACUACGGUGGAAAGCCGGGGACCGCAAGGCCUGGCGACUAACAGAUGAGCCCAAGUCGGAUUAGCUAGUUGGUAGGGUAACGCCUACCAAGGCGACGAUCCGUAACUGGUCUGAGAGGACGACCAGUCACACCGGAACUGAGACACGGUCCGGACUCCUACGGGAGGCAGCAGUGGGGAAUAUUGGACAAUGGCGAAAGCCUGAUCCAGCGACGCCGCGUGGGUGAAGAAGGCCUGCGGGUUGUAAAGCCCUUUCAGUGGGGAAGAAAAGCCUCGAGCUAAUAUCUCGGGUCUUGACGUAACCCAUAGAAGAAGCACCGGCUAACUCUGUGCCAGCCGCCGCCGU